GACGAACGCUGGCGGCAUGCCUAAUACAUGCAAGUCGAGCGAACAGAUGAAGUGCUUGCACUUCUGACGUUAGCGGCGAACGGGUGAGUAACACGUAAGGAAUCUACCUAUAAGCGGGGGAUAACAUUCGGAAACGGGUGCUAAUACCGCAUAAUAUCUUCUUCCGCAUGGAAGAAGAUUGAAAGACGGCUCUGCUGUCACAUAUAGAUGACCUUGCGGUGCAUUAGUUAGUUGGUGGGGUAACGGCCUACCAAGACGAUGAUGCAUAGCCGACCUGAGAGGGUGAUCGGCCACAUUGGGACUGAGACACGGCCCAAACUCCUACGGGAGGCAGCAGUAGGGAAUCUUCCGCAAUGGGCGAAAGCCUGACGGAGCAAUGCCGCGUGAGUGAAGAAGGCCUUCGGGUCGUAAAACUCUGUUAUAAGAGAAGAACAAAUUGUAGAGUAACUGCUACAGUCUUGACGGUAUCUUACCAGAAAGUCACGGCUAACUACGUGCCAGCCGCCGCCGUAA
This 513-nucleotide ribosomal RNA is filed under the name uncultured bacterium. RNAcentral's name for it is "partial 16S ribosomal RNA". It matches the Rfam family "Bacterial small subunit ribosomal RNA", at positions 28 to 523 of the family's 1533-position model. The record is from RNAcentral.